UCGGCCGCGGCCGCCUCGGCGGCUUUACCCCAGCCUCGCCACCCCUGCUCGGCGGUACCGGUUCCCCAGGCGCCCUGGACGCCUGUCUCCUCCCCUUCCUCCUCCUCCCCUUUAGCCUCCUGCCUUAAUAGCGGCUGCGCCUGCGAGGGGGGUCCGGAUGCCCGGUGCUCCGGGGUCACGGGCCCCAGACAGCUCUCCGGGGUCAGCGGGUCAUGGGCGCCGGCGGGCGGCGGCAGCGGCAGGGACAUGAGGAUGAGGUCAUGGGAAUAAAGAGGACAGGAAAAGGAGACAAAAUGGAGCAGCCAGAACAGUAGGAGGAGCACAAUUUUGAGCCGAACUGUGGAACCCCCUGAGGAUGCUGCCGCCUGCCAACUUUCUUGGACUGUGGACCUGAGGGCAUAACAUAUUGAAGAAACCCAGCAAUUUCUAACUGGCUAUCAUCACUUCAGAGAAUUUCCGAAGGCAAGAUCUGAUAAGAAUCCUCAAGAUUUGCCAUCUGAAUUUAAGGUAGGUAGGUCUCUCCUUCACCUGUUCAUUCAAUGGGUCUAAGCUAGAACUCCAACCCACUUUCCCCAAAUUUCCCUAUUACUUACAGAGCAGCCGUCUACAAGAACAGUGUAGGUGAACCUGCUGUUGCCCUCGGCAACCAGUUCAACAUCAUUGGAGCCUUGCAGAAUGACAGCCUUCUUCAGGUUGCCAGUCUCCUCAUCCAGGUAGGCAAUGCUGUUCUUGCAGUGGUAGGUGAUGUUUUGAGAGGCAUGGUUGGCCAGCAGGCGCAUGAAGGCGAGUUGAGUGGCCAUUUCCUUGGUGGUCACUCCUUCAGCAUUAUAUUCAAACUACAGAGAAUAAGGUAGAAACGCUAGUUAAGUGGAGAGGGACUGAAAUACUAAGUCAAAAAAGAGGGGGGCGGGGAAAGGCUGACUUAGGGAGGAAUGAUGGACUCAGAUCUGAACCUUGGGGAAAAAGGUACUUUUACAGGAAACUCAAUUCACUUGUCUGUGCAAUAUUAGUUACCUAGAAGGUACCUAGGAACUACCAGGCUGAGGCAAGAUCAUCUCAACUCAAAAAGGUACCUGUUUUAGAUAAGCCUUUUAGGAUAAGAGAGCAAGGAGACAGGGUCACACCUCUUUCUUUUUCUGUGAUUCCCCCCAGUAGGCAUUCAAUAAAGUUGGUGAAGAGAUUUGAUUAAAAAUUCAGAAAAGCACAUGUCCUGAGAAUACAUAUGCAUGGACACAGGGCUAGGUGCUGGCCAGCAUGUCCUCAUGCUAAAGGGCAUUAGUUUCUCCAGUGAUUAUCAGUUAAGUCAGAUUUGAAUAAUAACUUUAGAUGGUAUGGAUAUGUCCAAUCACUCCAGCUUUAAUAUGCAGUCCAGGAUAGAACGGAAACCCGAGAAAAGAGGUUCUUUUUAAUAAUCCCAUUUUGGUAAAGGAUUAAAAUGCAGAUCAUUGAAAAGCAAACUAUCUUAAUAUUAUUUAGUAGGAGAAGGGAUGUUUGUAGGAUUCCUCACCUGGGUACCACCAUUGAUAGUUUCUCCUAACCAGAUGUGCUUCUUGACCUUGGAAUUUCUGUACCAGUUCUUGGCUGGGAUGUUUUCAGGUUGAGCCCGGAUGCAGGUUUCGCCAGUAGAGAAAUCACAGUAUACUUUGAUAGCAUCCAUAGUGCAUCCUUGGUUAGGGUCAAUCCAGUAGUAACCUUUAAAAAAAGAAACAAGACCCAGCUCAUAAAACCUCUCCUUGAGUGGAGCAUAGGUUCUAAUAAUUACUAGACAAAGAUUUUUGAUUCCCAUAAGUAACAUUGUCUACCCCACAUUUAAUAGGAAGAGGAUGGCUAUUUUUAAGAUGAGACAGUUCCUCCUCUCUUGUCCUUCAUGAAAAAAAUCAAAUCAGAGAAUAUGUAUUUUUGCCUUUUUCGUGGUAAUAUAUAGAGAGGCCUGAGACUGGGUGCUGGCUGGGAGAAGAAAAUGCUUUAUUAGUUAGGUAUGAUUCCACAUAAUGCAAUUUUUACCCCAAACUUUUUCAUUCUAAAUGUCCAUGGGAAUGGACUUUACAAAGCCCAGCUCAUGAGAAGGGCCGGUCCGGCUUUGACAUCCUGACUUACCGCUGCUCCACUCUGGGUGGCUGAGUCUCAAGUCACGGCAUGUGCGAGCUGGGUUCUUCCUAGAGCCUUCAGGAGUAAGAAGGGUCUCGAUCUGGUUGUUGAGGGAUUUCAGAGUAGCAUCAACUUCAUAAUCCUUGGGUCUGAGAGAAGGUGGUGAGCGAGGCUGGUCAGCCCUGUAGAAGUCCCCUUCGUAACCAAAGUCAUAGCCACCACCACUCGGGCCGGGAGGGCCAGGAGGACCAGGCGGACCGGGAGGGCCCUGCAAAGGUGAGAGCGAGAAAGAGGAGGUUUCAUAUUUGGUCACAGUGAGAGAUGUCAAUGACAGCAGAUUUUCAGUUGAGUGUUACAGGCACGUUCUAAUAAGUAAAAGAGAAUAACUUGAUCCCAGGCAUGCUGGUGGGGAUGGGCUGAAACAGCUCCUUCCAUACCAUCUUUAUACGGUUUAGAGCUAACAUAUGGAAGUGGGGAGCUCCUUGAGUGUGUUGUCACAGCCAUCUUGGGUUCGUCUGAGCAGAACGUUAUUUCCCGGAACGAUACUUACAGCAGGACCUUGGCUCCCCUGAGAGCCACGGACGCCAGCAGGGCCGACUGUACCGGGAUGUCCAGUGCGACCGUCCUUGCCAGCAGGGCCGGAAGGACCAGCAGGGCCCUGGCGAAGGAGGACACCAAGUGUGAGGGAGUCCGUAAAAAAAAAAAAAACAAGGAAGGAGGGGCCUGGGGCUCCCUCCCUGCCAUAAGCUCUCAUUUCAGAGACCAAGGUCUCCUGGGUUGACCUACCCUAGGACCGGCAGGCCCCACAGAACCAGGUGCACCUUGAUCGCCAUGUUGACCCUUGAAAGAGAGGACAGGAAAAUCACACUUUCAGAACACGUGUCAACAAACAGUUUUUUUUUUUUAAUUGAAUGGAAAACUUUAGUUUCAAUGGACUCUGGAUUGAGAAAAUUGAAAAUGUAAAAUGGGGCUCUUUUCUCCCAUUAUGUCUAUUAUAUUCAAUUACAUUUUUUUCUACAAGCUAUUUCAGCAGUGUAAUAUUAGUCAUUCCUCUAAUUAUAUUUAUUUUAAGUGGGGUUGAAGGACAUUGUUGCCAGGAGAUUUUAAUAUAUGUAUAUUCCGAUCUCCCUUAACCCUCACCUUUUUGUGUUGGGAUGAAAUAGCAUUAUCUCUGCGAGAUGGAGUCAGCCAGAGAAUAGGAAAUGAAUACGAUGUAGUUCAUUUUAGAACAAGAGCAGUGAAAAUUUGAGGAAGAUCAUUUAAGAUCUGUACACAUGCAGAAUGUCCACACUGUACUUACAGCGAGACCAGGAAGACCUUGCAGUCCAUUGUGUCCCUUUAAGCCAGGAAGACCUCUGGGCCCCUUGUCACCAGGCUCUCCCUUAUCACCUCGAACACCUUGUGGGCCCUGUAAAGAAAAAGGAGGACAGACAGGGCAUUUUACCUUCUCACUUCCCCACCAGUAUUGCUUUAUCUGUUUACAGAGCUAACUCAAGACAUGCAAAGGUUUAAACACCACGUGGGUGUUACGCCCAUCUACUCCCCUAAUCUGCUUUCAUUGAACCCUCCGUUAAGUGGCUAGAUUUUGGUGAUUAUUUAAUACAAACAGACAGAAGAGAUUUGAAAUGGAAGAGCCUUAGAAGCUAGAUGUAGCAAUUCUCAGCAUGGACUGAAUUUUUUAAAAAUAUGAAGUCUAGCCUAUAUGUUAUUUAUUUUAUUCAUGGACAGUCUGGACAGAGUUUCCUUAAAUGUUCAUUUGUGAAGAAAUCUUCAUCAUGUACGUACACUAGGACCUCUUGGACCAGCAGCACCAACUGGACCCACAGAACCAGCAGGACCCUGCAAAUUGGAGAAGCAAAACCGAACUCGUCAGCCAAGCCCAAGCCCCUCCCCCACCAAAUCCCCCAGUUCCCGAGUGUGGGGAGGUCAGAGUGAAGCCUCGGAAGAGGACAGCACUAAGGGACUGGUAUUUACGAACUUACGGGUUCACCACGGUUUCCGUGUUUGCCAGUGGGACCCACAGGGCCGUGAGGACCAGGUGCGCCCACAGCGCCAGCAGGACCAAUGUUGCCAGGGUAACCGCGCUCUCCCUACCAAAGGCAAAGUGAAGUUUAGCAUCCACCUGGCCUGGGUUUUAGUCACUUUUAAAUUGGAGAAAGACAAAGAGGUGUGCUGACCUUGUGUCCAGGUUGACCAUCGCGGCCUGGGGGGCCAUCGUUCCCAGGGUUGCCCUGUGAAGAUACCACACCAAUUAAGGCACUUCGUGAGGCUCUUUACCCCGCCAGCCCCUUUAGUUCAGCUCCUCUGUCUUCAUUCCUCCCAGUACUCCACAGUGAACCCCCAGUCAGACCAUCAAACAGGCCAGUUAGAACUUGCCAGCCUAGUUUUCUUAGAGGUGUUUUUAGUAUUUUGGCCAAAUCUGAAGUAUACCAUUUAAAGAGCCAUCCUCCCACCCCCCAGCCCAAGUAAUUUUUCACAUUUUCAAUAGCAGGAGUGGUCAAGACCCAUAGAUAUUAUGGGGAAACAGACCAUCUUGUUCAGAGACUUGGAACAGGAGGAACUCAGCUGAGGACAUGAAGUCACGCACAAUGGACUACAGUUUGCUUCUACAAACCACACGUCAGACUCACAUCACGACCAGCUUCGCCAGGAGCGCCGUUCACUCCCGGUGCACCCACAGCCCCAGGGGGCCCACGAGCCCCAGGUGGGCCAGCGAUGCCGAGAGGUCCGUGUUCACCCUAGACGUGGAGAAGAGGAAACAUUCCUCUCAUUGGAUCGAGUGCAAGUCUCACCCUCCCAACACAACCCCGGCUAGGGGAUUGCAGUUUGAAAAGAGAAAGUGCAGUGGGGGGUGGGGGGGGUGGGUAGGCACGGGCCACAGAACAGCCAGAAGCCCCAUUCGUGUUAUCCUCGCCCUCAUCCUACACACUCGGAUGGCCGGCUUUCUGUAAUUUUGGAACGUCGCUCUGUACUAGGUAAGCCUAGCUGCAUCUGCUGUCCCAAAUGAAAUGAAUUCAUAAAGUUGAGAGAGUUUAUGGAGAUGAGAGGAUUCUUAGGUGCUGUCAUGUAUGAGAUUUAACGGAAUGAUUCAGAACUUCCAGAGUUUCAUUCUGCCUACAGGAUAAAUGAUGCCAGCAUUUCAUAUUGCAGAGGAGUAAAUGCAAUUAGAGCUUAUAUAGUUCUUAAGCAUGUAAAAAGAACAAAAAUCAUUCUGCAUAAUGUUAAGCUGUAUCUUUAUAGCGUGUGUCUAAGUAAGGUGGUAUUAAAGCUUCUUAGAUAAGUGACAUGUGAUCUGUAUAAAGAAAAUGCCAUGAAUAAAAAAUCUUAAGUGGAGUUAUUCAGUGAUCAAUCUGUCACAUCUGAAGUGGCAGCUUUUAAAAUCUUUUAUUAUGUUAAUGAGAAGAAGAAUGGUGUCAAACACUUACCACAGAUCCAGAAACACCUGGUAGACCACGUUCACCUCGAGAGCCUGGGAGACCCAGAAUGCCAGGAGCACCAAGGAGACCUUGAGGACCUGCGGUGCCAGGAGGGCCCUGAACAAGAGGAAAAAUACAUCACUGGUGAGCCGCGAAGUGAUAAUACACGUUGGCUUGAGGAUUGUGAGAAUCCGCUAUCCUCAGUUUAGAAAAAGGCUGGUGACCUCCUAGUAGGAGGACAUAUCCUUGGACAUCUUUUCUCUAGUGAUGACAAGGAGUUGACAGCUUGGCAAGUAUAUUUCUUUGUACCUCCUUGAGACCAAUGGAACAACAGUCAAAAAUAUGUGAUUGAGAUUAAUGAAGACAUCUGGGGUGACACAAGAGAGUUUGUAUAGAAUCUAUGCCAAGAAGCAAAUUUUGACCUUGGCCUCCAGCUGAACCCGGUCUAGGAAAGGCACAUUUCAGAGUAACAUUGACAGACAAUGCAUGUUUAAGAGAUUGGUAGCUUACUGAGAUUGAUUCGUGUACAAUAGGAUGACCAUGGCAAAGGGAUUCUGGUUCUAAUCCCAGGACGAGUGAGGUGCCAUUCUGAUAAAACAGUGAGUUCCUUCAUUUAUUGCCCUCCCCGUCUAGUGCCUUCUAAGCAACUGCAGAAGCCCCGCCACCUCAGUAUGUGCCGGACAGAUUUCCUGGCUCAACUGAGUUCUCUGUGAAAGCCUGCAGUACUCGUUAACAAAUAGAUGCCACUUGAAGAUCUGUGUAAAGGCUUUAUUUUAAUUCAAUACAAGGUAUUACGAGAGAGGAGCUUGCAAUCACUUACAGCGGUACCGGGCUCUCCAGAGGGACCCUUCUCGCCGGUAAAGCCGGGGGGACCAUGUGCACCAGUUUCUCCUGUUCGGCCAACUGGACCUUGGUCACCCCGAGGCCCACGGAGUCCUUCUUUACCAGCAGCGCCAGGGGGACCAGGAGGGCCGGUGAUACCCUGUGAGCCAAUGACAGAGUCAUUUAACCCGUCACAGACCCGGGAGAGAGCAGCUGAGGUUCUAGAGAUGAAGAUGCAAACAGUGUGAAGCAACAAAAUGCUACCCUGGCCACUGGGGGGACCUGUGGGGGCGUCGUCACAUUCCUUGUAGUGGGGAGAGGCAACUCCCUGUCCUCCUUCUCUGGAGCCUGUAAUAAAGUGACUGACUGAGGUCGAAGCUGGGGCUAAUGUCCGUGAGGAGAGGAAAUGCUGUGCUACCAGGCCCCUGGCGUCUUGGGGCCAGGACUCCAGAGAGUGAGAAGAGUCCGUCGUAAAUGAAUGGGACUUGGGGUUUGGGAAGACCCUGCUCAUUUCUUUGUGAAGAUGGCCGACACUGGCAUUUUGUUCAUCAUUGAGGAAUCACAUGUGCGCUCCACUAGGUUUAAUUAAAUGCCUACAGGAAGUGAAGAUUUUUCUGUUAUGAACCUGUAAAAGGGUUCCAAGAAAUCAACAUCUUUGCUGUUUUUUUUUCCCUGAAAUCUUAACCAGAAGACUUAAUCCUUGGUAAUUAAUUAAAUUCUCUUGAGUCCUGACAGGAGAGUCUGAAUCAGAAUUAAAUUAGAGGCCAAACCACCUUUAAAUUCAGGAACAAUUAUACCUGAACAACGGAGGCAGAAUGUUGGCCAUAAAAGGUAAUUAGAUAUAGAAAUAUCUGAUAUGUGACUAAAACUGUUCUGUUUUUUAUUUCUAACAAAGAGACCAUGCCCCUAAAAGGGGACUUGUGUUCACAUGAAUAAAAGCCUCUUAAGCUGA
Molecule: long non-coding RNA, 7278 nt
Organism: Leptonychotes weddellii (Weddell seal)
Lineage: Eukaryota; Metazoa; Chordata; Mammalia; Carnivora; Phocidae
Source: RefSeq, a predicted model, not a curated record